CAGUAGCCGCGGUAAUACGAAGGGUGCAAGCGUUACUCGGAAUUACUGGGCGUAAAGCGUGCGUAGGUGGUGGUUUAAGUCCGUUGUGAAAGCCCUGGGCUCAACCUGGGAAUUGCAGUGGAUACUGGGCGACUAGAGUAAGGUAGAGGAUAGUGGAAUUUCCGGUGUAGCAGUGAAAUGCGUAGAGAUCGGAAGGAACAUCUGUGGGGAAGGCGACUAUCUGGGCCAUUACUGACACUGAGGCACGAAAGCGUGGGGAGCAAACAGGAUUAGAUACCCCCGUAGUCCCUGUCUCUUAUAC
RNAcentral lists this ribosomal RNA (301 nucleotides) under uncultured bacterium. RNAcentral describes it as "partial 16S ribosomal RNA". It matches the Rfam family "Bacterial small subunit ribosomal RNA", at positions 509 to 807 of the family's 1533-position model. The record is from RNAcentral.